UACAGAGGGGGCAAGCGUUAUUCGGAAUUAUUGGGCGUAAAGGGCGCGUAGGCGGCUUCGCAAGUGGAUGGUGAAAUCCCUCGGCUCAACCGAGGAACUGCCGUCCAAACUGCAUGGCUUGAGUCCGGGAGAGGUGAGUGGAAUUCCCAGUGUAGCGGUGAAAUGCGUAGAUAUUGGGAGGAACACCAGUGGCGAAGGCGGCUCACUGGACCGGAACUGACGCUGAGGCGCGAAAGCGUGGGGAGCAAACGGG
This 253-nucleotide ribosomal RNA is filed under the name uncultured bacterium. Its description in RNAcentral is "partial 16S ribosomal RNA". It matches the Rfam family "Bacterial small subunit ribosomal RNA", at positions 524 to 776 of the family's 1533-position model. The record is from RNAcentral.